RNAcentral lists this ribosomal RNA (357 nucleotides) under Bacillus sp. UPMLH43. RNAcentral describes it as "bacterial SSU rRNA". It matches the Rfam family "Bacterial small subunit ribosomal RNA", at positions 98 to 448 of the family's 1533-position model. The record is from RNAcentral. Lineage: Bacteria; Bacillati; Bacillota; Bacilli; Caryophanales; Bacillaceae.
GCGGACGGGUGAGUAACACGUGGGUAACCUGCCCAUAAGACUGGGAUAACUCCGGGAAACCGGGGCUAAUACCGGAUAACAUUUUGAACCGCAUGGUUCGAAAUUGAAAGGCGGCUUCGGCUGUCACUUAUGGAUGGACCCGCGUCGCAUUAGCUAGUUGGUGAGGUAACGGCUCACCAAGGCAACGAUGCGUAGCCGACCUGAGAGGGUGAUCGGCCACACUGGGACUGAGACACGGCCCAGACUCCUACGGGAGGCAGCAGUAGGGAAUCUUCCGCAAUGGACGAAAGUCUGACGGAGCAACGCCUCGUGAGUGAUGAAGGCUUUCUAGUCGUAAAACUCUGUUGUUAGGGAAGA